RNAcentral lists this unclassified non-coding RNA (138 nucleotides) under soil metagenome. RNAcentral's name for it is "partial internal transcribed spacer 1". The record is from RNAcentral.
CAGAGUUGCAAAACUCCCAACCCUUUGUGAACGUACUGAAAAGUUGCUUCGGCGGGAGGCUCCUCAGGGAGCGGACCGCCGGAGGAAUCCAAACUCUUGUUUUUUUUGGCAUCUCUGAGUAGCUUAUAAAUAAGUUUA